Molecule: long non-coding RNA, 318 nt
Organism: Capra hircus (goat)
Lineage: Eukaryota; Metazoa; Chordata; Mammalia; Artiodactyla; Bovidae
Exons: 3
Source: RefSeq, a predicted model, not a curated record
CCUCCACUAGGUUGUCUUUUCGCCGGUUGGUGCCCGGCAACCGCAGCGCAGGCGCACGGAGGCCGCUGGGCGCACGAGCGCGCGCUUUCCCCGCUGUGCACGAGAAGAUUCAUUUUGGAGACACAAACUUGACUAAGGAAUGUCGAAAAGGAAACCGACCUCUGUUGCCAGGCCCCAGCAGAGUGGACAGAGCUCUCAGCGAAAAUCGGGAAUAGGGAGUGCAGGGAGGGACCCUGGUGACCAGCAUCCUAGGGACGUGCCACCCGGAAAGACAGAGGCCAGUGUUGCUACCUGCAGCCACAGGACUCCACAACCAUG